This 2806-nucleotide long non-coding RNA is filed under the name Marmota monax (woodchuck). The record is from RNAcentral. Lineage: Eukaryota; Metazoa; Chordata; Mammalia; Rodentia; Sciuridae.
AGCACUUAAUAAAUGAUGAUGAAUGUCAGCUAUUGAAAUCCACGCAGCCAGCAAACUCUGACUAUGUAUUUAUUCUCACGGUGCCAGUUACUCUCGAAGACUCUAAGGAAACAUAAAAAUAUUGCCUAGGACAGAGUCCAAGGCCUUCCCUGUCCAGAGGGGAGAAGCCAACGUGAACAAAAGCCCUCCAGCAUCCUUAUCCAAAGUCCUCCAACCAAACAGGCUUGGGUUUAAAGGUUUCUGACUUCAUACAGGUAACAGGUGGGUGUACUAUACAGUGCCUAUCCCCCACCUCUACCCCAGGGCCUGGAUUAGCACCUGUGAUCAAACGUAUGGGUAUUUCUUCGGCAAAAUCCAUGCAUAGGCACACUGAAUGGGAUCAAGAAACACUAGAGAGCCUCAAGAUAGCUGGGGAGACGGGCUCAGGAACACACACCUGCAAUUCCAGUGACUCAGAAGGCUGAGGCGGGAGGAUCAGAAGUCUGAGGCCAACCUUGGCAACUUAGUGAGAUUCUGUCUUAAACUAAAAAGUAAAAAGGACUCAGGGAUGAAGGGCCCCUAGGUUCAAUCCCCAGCACCGAAAACCAAAACAAAUCAAGACAGCACAGGUCGGAAACCACCCCAGCUGCCAGGCCUCCGCCAAGUGACUUACAAACAAAACAAAACAAAAACCCCACAACAACAUCCUGGUGGUUGGCAGAAGGGAAGAGAUGUCCAGGUGGGAAACUAGUCCAGUGGCCAGGGAAAAGAGGAUGGUGACGCCAAUGUAGGCAGCCGAGGAGGUAAGAACCAAGCGACAGCCACCACCCCAACACAGCCCAGGGCGUGCAGCCCCUCUUGUAGGAGUCUUUUCGAGAGGUCUGGUGCAUCGAAGGACAAAGUGAUUAUUUUAACAGCACGAGAACAGACACAGGGCCAAGGAGGGUGCCUGGCAGAAACCAGAGAAGGAGGAGGAGGUCUAAGCUGGAAUGGAGUUGGACUCCCCAGUUCAUGAGGAGGCUCUACAACCAUCUUUUCUGAAGUGAUUGGGGUUCGGGAUGUAGCUCAUGGUAGAGUAAAAGCUUUACGUGUCCAAGGCCCUGGGUUCUUCUAUCCCCAGCACCACAGAAAAACAAAGACCAGGGGAAAAAAAAAAAACUGACAAACUGCAACAAACACUAGUUUUGUUUUAGAUGGCAAGACAGCACCAGUGCCCAAGGGCCAGGAGAAGUGUCCACUUGGGAGACUGUGGCAGCAGCUUCAGCCAUGUCACCUGCCAGUUCCUCCAAGAAGAGCCAAGAGCUAAGGACACAUGGACAAAUGCACAGCUGGACUGACAGGGGACAGAGGGGACCAUCACUGAAGGGGGCAGUGUAUGACCAGCAGGACCAUUUAGCAACUCAAAGACCCCCACCAGCCACCCCAGCUGCCAGGCCUCAGACUCUUCCCACAAAAUCUCCUGCUCCAUAGGGACAGGCAUGGCCUAUUCCCCUCCCUAUCAUCAUCUAACAACAUCCUGAUCAUAAGGGCUCAGAAAUAAUUACCUGGUGAAUUGAGCCAUCACCAAAAAGAAAACCAUCUCACAAGAACCCAUGGGCAGAGAGCUCCUCAUAGAUAGAACCAAUGAGGGCAGCAAGGAAACGACAGAUCCCUGCAAGAGCUCAAGACCCACCAGCCCUUCCUGGUUAGCAAGCACUUCUGCAAAGACCAAAAGGUCUCUUUGGACCCCGAUGGGCAGAUGGCUCAUGUGUCCCCGGCUCCACCUGUCCUGAUGACUAGGGAGAAGUCCUCCCAGAGAUGCCACAGAACACUAGCUUAAGACACUGUCCCUCUACACAGCUGGACGGCACAACCAUUCUGGGAGCCCAAACCUGCCACUGUCAGGGAAGCGGGGACACCUGUCGUGAGCAGGGAAGGCGGCAGGGACAGCAGAGAAGGCCUCCGCUGGCAUGGUGAACUUGGGUCUUAGGGCGCCUCCUCCAAGUGUACAGCUGGCCUCUGCGUGUUCCCAGGCAGUCACUGAGCUCAGCCACUCUUAGGAGCAGGGAAAACCCAAACUGUAUCCCAGAAGUCCACGGGAAAAGCAACACUCGCACUCAAAACCGAAAAGAGUCCCUCCCUCCCACGUUUUUCUCUUCGGCUUUCCUACAGGAUUUAGGACCUGGAGCUCUGCAGAAUCCGUGCGUGGAGAUCGGAUGAGGGAGCAGACCUACAUCUGACACAAGGAGGUGAUGCUGAGGGGAAAAUCUUGGGGUCACCUGCUUUUUUUUUAAAUUUUCCAACUUCGAAUUAUGGGCAUUUGCAAGCUUUCACAAAAGUAAAGAGACGACUACAACGAACCCCCAGUGCCCAUCACCCAGGGUCACUCAUUGCGAACCCAAGGCCCAUCUUAUGUCGAUCAUACACGCACACCCACGCUGUAUUAUUCCACUCAUCAGCUGAGUUUUCACAAUCAACACAACACAAAACUCACGGGGGCCUCUGCUUCGGGCCUCGUGUUUUUACCUGGGAGCCCUCCAGAUGUCAGAAUCAUCCAUAGACCUGCAACCACCACAACGGGGUUUUCUGGCUGGAACACAGUGGGUAGGCAGAGAAGAGGAGGCACAGACUGGGGACGGGGGCUCCUCAGACUUGUUCUGCACACAGCACUUUUACUGGUGGUGCUGGGGAUGGAACCCAGGGCCUAAGCGCUUCUCGGCUGAGCUACCGCCCCAGAGAUCCUCCCUGGUCAGCAAAGUCCUGCAGCGGCAGCACUCGCUCCAACAGCCAAUCCCAAACCCAAGAGCCCGCGGUGGAGCCGCCAGCCCGGCAAGGGAACGUACACGGU